UGCAAGUCGAGCGAAUGGAUUAAGAGCUUGCUCUUAUGAAGUUAGCGGCGGACGGGUGAGUAACACGUGGGUAACCUGCCCAUAAGACUGGGAUAACUCCGGGAAACCGGGGCUAAUACCGGAUAACAUUUUGAACCGCAUGGUUCGAAAUUGAAAGGCGGCUUCGGCUGUCACUUAUGGAUGGACCCGCGUCGCAUUAGCUAGUUGGUGAGGUAACGGCUCACCAAGGCAACGAUGCGUAGCCGACCUGAGAGGGUGAUCGGCCACACUGGGACUGAGACACGGCCCAGACUCCUACGGGAGGCAGCAGUAGGGAAUCUUCCGCAAUGGACGAAAGUCUGACGGAGCAACGCCGCGUGAGUGAUGAAGGCUUUCGGGUCGUAAAACUCUGUUGUUAGGGAAGAACAAGUGCUAGUUGAAUAAGCUGGCACCUUGACGGUACCUAACCAGAAAGCCACGGCUAACUACGUGCCAGCAGC
Molecule: ribosomal RNA, 479 nt
Filed under: Bacillus cereus
Lineage: Bacteria; Bacillati; Bacillota; Bacilli; Caryophanales; Bacillaceae
Description: bacterial SSU rRNA
Rfam family: Bacterial small subunit ribosomal RNA
Source: RNAcentral